CCUACGGGGGGCAGCAGUAGGGAAUCUUUCACAAUGGGCGAAAGCCUGAUGGAGCAACGCCGCGUGCAGGAUGAAGGCCUUCGGGUUGUAAACUGCUUUUAUAAGCGAGAAAUAUGAUGGUAACUUAUGAAUAAGGAUCGGCUAACUACGUGCCAGCAGCCGCGGUCAUACGUAGGAUCCGAGCAUUAUCCGGAGUGACUGGGUGUAAAGAGUUGCGUAGGUGGCAUAAUAAGUAGCUAGGGAAAUCUGGUGGCUCAACCAUUCAGACUAUUAGCUAAACUGUUAAGCUCGAGACCGUUAGGGGUAACUGGAAUUUCUAGUGUAGGAGUGAAAUCCGUAGAUAUUAGAAGGAACACCAAUAGCGUAGGCAGGUUGCUGGGACGGUUCUGACACUAAGGCACGAAAGCGUAGGGAGCAAACGGGAUUAGAUACCCCUGUAGUC
This 442-nucleotide ribosomal RNA is filed under the name uncultured bacterium. Its description in RNAcentral is "partial 16S ribosomal RNA". It matches the Rfam family "Bacterial small subunit ribosomal RNA", at positions 338 to 795 of the family's 1533-position model. The record is from RNAcentral.